This 1228-nucleotide long non-coding RNA is filed under the name Strongylocentrotus purpuratus (purple sea urchin). RNAcentral's name for it is "uncharacterized LOC115923604". Lineage: Eukaryota; Metazoa; Echinodermata; Echinoidea; Camarodonta; Strongylocentrotidae. The record is from RNAcentral.
GAUAGGGAGCGAGAGUGAAUGUGCCAUCGGUGGAUGUAAUUAGUAUAGAAAUUAUACAGUGUCCCGCGAAGCAUUGAAUGUGUUGUCACGGGUUACUGUCUGAAAAGGUUGAGCCUACCAUUGAAAGGAAAGUGGAAUGGCAUUACACCUGUUGUAGAUGGGAAGUUUUUUUGUUUGUAGUUGACUGUAUAUAAUGUACUGGAGUAACAGUGGCUAGGGACACACCCAAAGAAGUUGGCUUGGUGUACGGAGGUCUUAGUGUACGUAGCAGCUUGCUUUAAAGCAAUAUAGCUAGCUGCUUGUCAACACAUUGUAGAAGACAGGUUGAGAAAGAUGUGGCUUCGUGCUUUAUAAGUUUUGAUACAUGAGAAUUUGCAGCUUUAAGUAGAACCGAUACUUCCCAUCGAUGGCACAGGGGCUUGGGAGACAAGCUGAGAUUUCUACGACUACGAGAGUUGAUGCGAGACGGGACAUUCGGACACGUGACCGACAGAUCACCAAGAACAUGGCGUCUUCAGUAGAGAACGCAAUAUGAACAUUACGGUGAGCGAUAAUGGUGCCGAUUAUGUUGACGAGACUAUUAUGGAACUUGAGAUAAAUAGUUCGUUGAACUUGAAAGUCACAUCUAAAAAGAUGUCAUAGGCUUAGCAGAGCCAAUUGGACUAUUUCGUGUUUGAGUGUGUAUUGUUGAUGCAUGCAUUGUAUAAAGACGACUUUGAAAGAUGUAAUCAAGGGUGAAGUUAGCGGACAAUACAGGUCUGGAGUUAACCGUUCACGUGACAAGAAGUCAGUUUUUGAUUAUUUUGAGAAGAGAUCAUGAUAUUUGUGAAGGUAUAAUUUGUUAAAGUUGAUAACUAAAUAAACGACAAUAUACUGGUCUGUUUAUUGAUGUUAAGGUAAAGUAUCUCAAGAACGAGAUGUGUAUGAGUUAAUUGUUUAAGCUACAGAUGUGCUAUAUAUAUAUUUAGACAAUUCAGGUCUGUUUAUAUAUAACAUUAUUGGUGUAGAAUUCAUGUAUAACAAAUUAUAGAAAGAUUUAAUACAUGUUACAAAGGUGUUGAUCAUAUAUUUGAUUGAUAAGGUUGAUUUUAUUUUGAUGGGACCAAGUGUUUUUGGAACGAGAUUGUAAGAGGAUAUAUAUUUCGUUCGUACCAUUCUCUUUUUGUCGGAGAAUGGUACUAUUCUUUGCUUUAUAAUAAAGCUUGAUUAUAAUUACGAGUAUCGUAAA